This 1378-nucleotide ribosomal RNA is filed under the name Vibrio sp. MNW1.2. Its description in RNAcentral is "bacterial SSU rRNA". It matches the Rfam family "Bacterial small subunit ribosomal RNA", at positions 65 to 1436 of the family's 1533-position model. Lineage: Bacteria; Pseudomonadati; Pseudomonadota; Gammaproteobacteria; Vibrionales; Vibrionaceae. The record is from RNAcentral.
AUCUGAACCUUCGGGGAACGAUAACGGCGUCGAGCGGCGGACGGGUGAGUAAUGCCUAGGAAAUUGCCCUGAUGUGGGGGAUAACCAUUGGAAACGAUGGCUAAUACCGCAUGAUGCCUACGGGCCAAAGAGGGGGACCUUCGGGCCUCUCGCGUCAGGAUAUGCCUAGGUGGGAUUAGCUAGUUGGUGAGGUAAGGGCUCACCAAGGCGACGAUCCCUAGCUGGUCUGAGAGGAUGAUCAGCCACACUGGAACUGAGACACGGUCCAGACUCCUACGGGAGGCAGCAGUGGGGAAUAUUGCACAAUGGGCGCAAGCCUGAUGCAGCCAUGCCGCGUGUGUGAAGAAGGCCUUCGGGUUGUAAAGCACUUUCAGUCGUGAGGAAGGUAGUGUAGUUAAUAGCUGCAUUAUUUGACGUUAGCGACAGAAGAAGCACCGGCUAACUCCGUGCCAGCAGCCGCGGUAAUACGGAGGGUGCGAGCGUUAAUCGGAAUUACUGGGCGUAAAGCGCAUGCAGGUGGUUUGUUAAGUCAGAUGUGAAAGCCCGGGGCUCAACCUCGGAAUAGCAUUUGAAACUGGCAGACUAGAGUACUGUAGAGGGGGGUAGAAUUUCAGGUGUAGCGGUGAAAUGCGUAGAGAUCUGAAGGAAUACCGGUGGCGAAGGCGGCCCCCUGGACAGAUACUGACACUCAGAUGCGAAAGCGUGGGGAGCAAACAGGAUUAGAUACCCUGGUAGUCCACGCCGUAAACGAUGUCUACUUGGAGGUUGUGGCCUUGAGCCGUGGCUUUCGGAGCUAACGCGUUAAGUAGACCGCCUGGGGAGUACGGUCGCAAGAUUAAAACUCAAAUGAAUUGACGGGGGCCCGCACAAGCGGUGGAGCAUGUGGUUUAAUUCGAUGCAACGCGAAGAACCUUACCUACUCUUGACAUCCAGAGAACUUUCCAGAGAUGGAUUGGUGCCUUCGGGAACUCUGAGACAGGUGCUGCAUGGCUGUCGUCAGCUCGUGUUGUGAAAUGUUGGGUUAAGUCCCGCAACGAGCGCAACCCUUAUCCUUGUUUGCCAGCGAGUAAUGUCGGGAACUCCAGGGAGACUGCCGGUGAUAAACCGGAGGAAGGUGGGGACGACGUCAAGUCAUCAUGGCCCUUACGAGUAGGGCUACACACGUGCUACAAUGGCGCAUACAGAGGGCGGCCAACUUGCGAAAGUGAGCGAAUCCCAAAAAGUGCGUCGUAGUCCGGAUUGGAGUCUGCAACUCGACUCCAUGAAGUCGGAAUCGCUAGUAAUCGUGGAUCAGAAUGCCACGGUGAAUACGUUCCCGGGCCUUGUACACACCGCCCGUCACACCAUGGGAGUGGGCUGCAAAAGAAGUAGGUUAGUU